RNAcentral lists this transfer RNA (75 nucleotides) under Ipomoea nil (Japanese morning glory). It matches the Rfam family "tRNA". From Rfam's summary of the family: Transfer RNA (tRNA) molecules are approximately 80 nucleotides in length. Their secondary structure includes four short double-helical elements and three loops (D, anti-codon, and T loops). The record is from Rfam by way of RNAcentral. Lineage: Eukaryota; Viridiplantae; Streptophyta; Magnoliopsida; Solanales; Convolvulaceae.
GAUGGUUUGGCCGAGUGGUCUAAGGCGCCAGAUUUAGGCGUUUGAAAGGGCGUGGUUCAAAUCCCACAGCUGUCA